RNAcentral lists this ribosomal RNA (696 nucleotides) under Faecalibacterium prausnitzii. RNAcentral describes it as "bacterial SSU rRNA". It matches the Rfam family "Bacterial small subunit ribosomal RNA", at positions 440 to 1162 of the family's 1533-position model. Lineage: Bacteria; Bacillati; Bacillota; Clostridia; Eubacteriales; Oscillospiraceae. The record is from RNAcentral.
UGAGGAAGAUAAUGACGGUACUCAACAAGGAAGUGACGGCUAACUACGUGCCAGCAGCCGCGGUAAAACGUAGGUCACAAGCGUUGUCCGGAAUUACUGGGUGUAAAGGGAGCGCAGGCGGGAAGACAAGUUGGAAGUGAAAUCCAUGGGCUCAACCCAUGAACUGCUUUCAAAACUGUUUUUCUUGAGUAGUGCAGAGGUAGGCGGAAUUCCCGGUGUAGCGGUGGAAUGCGUAGAUAUCGGGAGGAACACCAGUGGCGAAGGCGGCCUACUGGGCACCAACUGACGCUGAGGCUCGAAAGUGUGGGUAGCAAACAGGAUUAGAUACCCUGGUAGUCCACACUGUAAACGAUGAUUACUAGGUGUUGGAGGAUUGACCCCUUCAGUGCCGCAGUUAACACAAUAAGUAAUCCACCUGGGGAGUACGACCGCAAGGUUGAAACUCAAAGGAAUUGACGGGGGCCCGCACAAGCAGUGGAGUAUGUGGUUUAAUUCGACGCAACGCGAAGAACCUUACCAAGUCUUGACAUCCUGCGACGCACAUAGAAAUAUGUGUUUCCUUCGGGACGCAGAGACAGGUGGUGCAUGGUUGUCGUCAGCUCGUGUCGUGAGAUGUUGGGUUAAGUCCCGCAACGAGCGCAACCCUUAUGGUCAGUUACUACGCAAGAGGACUCUGGCCGGACUGCCGUUGACAAA